CUUCCGUUGCUUUCCCCUUUUCUUCCUCUGUUUCUGUGUUUUUCCCUUGGUUUUUUUAUAAUUUUUUAGUGUUUGAUGUGCCACAAACUAUGUGGCCUGAUUUAACUUCUAUUUUUUAUAUAAUUUGUUUGUCCUGCCAUUAAUUUUUUAAUUAUUAUGUUUUCUCUCUCUCUCCCGUAUAUGUUGUUGCUUAGCCUUUGUUUGUUUUAAUUUUUGGUUAGACUCUGCUUUUGGUACCUCUAGCUUCCACGUGUUGAUCAUCGUGGGGGGUUCUGUUCAGAGGCUGGUUGUUUUAUUUUUUGGCUGGAAGCAUCUUCCACUUUCCACUUUUCACUUUCCUCUUCUCUUCUGUCUUCUCCUUUUCUUUUGCUCUCUCUAUAUCUCUCCGCCUGUCUUUCCGUUUAGAUUUUGAUCCGAUCGUCUAAAAAGGUAGUUCGUCUGUUUUUUUCUUCUCUUUUCCAGAAACCAAUCGCACCGUUUUAGGGAACAUUGGUCUUUGAAUUUUAGGGUUUUAUUGUACGAGCUUGCAAGCCAUUUUUGGGUCAGGAAACGUUGCAAGCCCUUUCUGAUUAAGGAAGCAGUGGCUACCUUUUUUUGCGCUUUUGUAUGUACGGUUCCAGGUGCCUCAGGUAUAUACAUUAUGCAACUGUUAAUAUCCAUAACCAAUGCAGGUUUUUAAGCACUCACACAGGUUUGUAUUUCAGUGAAAAAAAUCUAGGAAAAACAAAAGGAGGUUGAACCCAUCUACAUAGUGAGUCGAAAGAAAAAUUAAACUCGAGCUAGAGAAUGAAAACUGGUCUGAUGAAAAAAAAGAAAUGAACACAUAUAAGUGGCUUGAAUGAAAGAUGCAAUUCCAACACCUAUCAAUCAGUUACAACCGUAUAAAAAGGCAGUAAAAAUUCAAGUCCUGUGUACAAUGUGGAGAGCGAGAAUUCCAGAAACGGCUGAUAAAUAUAUGGGCCUGCGCUGUAUACUGAUUGAUGAAAAGCAACGCAGGAGUCUGACUUCCCGCAGCAACGCGCGGGUCACACUUUCUAGUAAGAUCUGAAAGGGAUGGAAUUGUUUUCUUAUUUAGUAACCACUGUAUAUAUCUAUAUAUAUAUAUAUAUAUGUAUGUAUGUAUGUAUAUUCCAAUAAACUUGCUUAUAUCUUUGGAAAUAUGUACGUACCAACUGUCAAAGCAUGUAUAUACCGGUGUCCAAGUUGAGAACAACAAUGACACCCCAUUCUAUUCAAUCUCAGUUAUUGAUACAGCGUUUAUGAUCUAAUUCACCUAUUUUCUCUAUUGCGAUUUUGUCUUAUAUCUCUUAGUUAACAUUAAAAUUUGGAUGGGGGAAAAAGGUUUGUGGUUAGAUCGGUAUUUUAUUAACCCAUAGUGCUCAACCACAUAAGUUAGACCUUUUUGUUGCUUUCUUUUGCUCUAAUCCUGUCGAUUUUUUGGCUAACAUUUCACUUAAUUAAAGGUUUUUAUUUCCCACUAGGAAGUAUCUGGGAAAAUAAAAGGGCAAGGAAACAAGAGUCGAAGUAAAGGCUGUUUCUUUUCUUUUAAAUUGUUUAACGUUUACGCUUUUUUUUUGUCGAGUUCGUAAUUUAGUUCAUUUAUACCAUGCUUUUGGCAUGGUUUAUUCUUUUAAGUGCAGGUUACCUUAUAGACAUUACAAUUUAGGUCUUUAGUUGUUUGAUAGAAAAUCGCUUUCAUUCAUCAUUUCUUAUCGGAUAGUUUAAUCGUUAUGCUCUUAUUUUAGAUCGUAACUCAUUUUGGUUGCGAGUUUGUUCUGUAAUUUUUUUUGUCCUCUGCUAUUAAGAGCUUACCACAUGUGAUAGCAGAGUGAUUGCAUUGGUAGCUUAUGUAUACAAGUGAAUUCAGAUGACACAAUGAGUUUGAUAUUCAAAAAAAUGUCUGUUCAUUUUUUUAAUCUUUAAAAACUGUCGAAUCAAUUUGAAUAUGUAAUUUUAUGUUUAUUGUUAGGUAAAUUGCUGUUUUUUUUUCGCUGAUAAAAAUUAUAGAGUUUGGUUGUGUAAAUGUGUGUAGUUUUAUACAUUUCGCUCGGUUGACAAUUUGAUAAUGGCUAAAGCGCAUUCUUUAAUCAAAUGUGUUUUCUUUCCUCGAUUGUAAAUGUCUUUUUGGUAUUUUGCAAAUCAAAACAAAGUGAAAGCUUUUGAUUGUGAAUUUUGCAACCGCUACGUGCAAUUACAUGUGUGAGAGACUUUUUAAAUUAGACGCAUUACACGCUUCUUAUGGAUUUUAUAACGUCAGAUUUUCAUUCAGUUGCUGUUUUAAAUUGGGGCUUCCAUUUGGUUGAGCAUCCUUUUCUCCAAAAGGGAUGGACAGAAGUCCCAGGCAUCAAUAUCUUUGUGAUCAUUGCUGGGAAAAUAUCGUGGUCAUUUUGAGUUCGGAUUCAGCUAGCAUGUGAUCUGUGCAAGCUAUCCAUAUAUGGAUCAAUGCUAUGGACUCUUCUCAACCUAUGGACCUCAAAUUUCAGUGCGUCUUCCAUCAUUUAUCCUACCUCACUAUGUAUGGACCUAUUACAUUUGCAAUCAUAUUAAUUUCUUGAAAACAAUAUUUAUAUUUCUCUGUAAACUGCUAAUUUUGGAAUAUACUAUCGUUUCCUUGCUGGUACAUUAAAAUGAAAAUAUGAAAAGUAGUCUCAAUCUCGCCCGGGGGUGUUGUAGGCCAAUUCGAUGCUACGAGGCACUUCGUUUAGGGCUAUCUGAGGGUGAGAGGUGUUGGGUGUCUGAGACAAGGGGUUUCAGUUUAGGGAACCAAAACAUUCAGUUUCGUCCUGCUCAUUGUACAAUGUCUUUUCAUGUUAGUUCAGUUGAAUGUAUAUAAAAACAAAGUUGCAUAUCUUACCGACCUCAUUCACUCAUC
This is a non-coding RNA of Malus domestica (apple), 2872 nucleotides long. Lineage: Eukaryota; Viridiplantae; Streptophyta; Magnoliopsida; Rosales; Rosaceae. The record is from RefSeq and is a predicted model, not a curated record.